This 45-nucleotide non-coding RNA is filed under the name Schistosoma mattheei. The record is from RNAcentral. Lineage: Eukaryota; Metazoa; Platyhelminthes; Trematoda; Strigeidida; Schistosomatidae.
AUGCAGCUGACGAAUCCUAAAUAGGACGAAACUCGUGUCCUGAAU